AAGAAUGAUUAUCCAGGCCGGGCGCGGUGGCUCAUGCCUGUAAUCCCAGCACUUUGGGAGGCCGAGGCAGGCGGAUCAUGAGACAAGGACAUUUACCUAUGGUCAUAUUAUUACUCCAGCAUGGUGCAGACCCCACUCUCAUUGAUGGAGAGGGAUUCAGCAGCAUCCACUUGGCAGUAUUGUUUCAACACAUGCCUAUUAUAGCAUAUCUCAUCUCAAAGGGACAGAGUGUGAAUAUGACAGAUGUAAAUGGGCAGACACCUCUCAUGUUAUCAGCUCACAAAGUAAUUGGGCCAGAACCAACUGGAUUUCUUUUAAAGUUUAAUCCUUCUCUCAAUGUGGUUGAUAAAAUACACCAAAACACUCCACUUCACUGGGCAGUUGCAGCAGGAAAUGUUAAUGCAGUUGAUAAGCUUUUGGAAGCUGGUUCUAGCCUGGAUAUCCAGAAUGUUAAGGGAGAAACACCUCUUGAUAUGGCUCUACAAAACAAAAAUCAGCUCAUUAUUCAUAUGCUAAAAACAG
This 522-nucleotide small RNA is filed under the name Pongo abelii (Sumatran orangutan). RNAcentral's name for it is "processed transcript". The record is from RNAcentral. Lineage: Eukaryota; Metazoa; Chordata; Mammalia; Primates; Hominidae.